ACAAUGCAAUUUCUUUAUUAUCAAGCUUUAAAUUUGUUUUACUAGUGAUACAUUUCAUUAUUAUAUUGGUUCAUUAUUCCUUGCAGGAACAAUCAAAAGCCAACAUAUUUGUCUUACUAAUGAUACAUUUCAUUGUUAUAUUGGUCAUUCUUCCUUAUAGGAACAAUCAAAGGCCAACAUCGGGAACAGAGAAAGGAUGUAUACAAAACAUAGGUAUGGUUCUAGGUCAAUCCCUGUUAGAGUAGAAAAACUGGCACGAGAAAAGAAGAUGCUACCUGAUCUAGCAGAGUUGUACAAGGAAACUCACUAUAAUGAGAAAACACAUGAGUGAAUCUCAUCUCAAGCUCAGUGUAAUUAUGAAAAUAUGAUACAGACACAAGUUGAUCACCUCUCACAGCCGGGAUCAACCCCUUUGACUGCAGAAGAGCUAUCAAUCAAAGUCCUAAAGCCAAGGUCAGGC
Non-coding RNA from Camellia sinensis, 460 nucleotides. Lineage: Eukaryota; Viridiplantae; Streptophyta; Magnoliopsida; Ericales; Theaceae. The record is from RefSeq and is a predicted model, not a curated record.